This is a long non-coding RNA of Oncorhynchus kisutch (coho salmon), 2690 nucleotides long. RefSeq lists it as uncharacterized. NCBI's taxonomy places the organism in Eukaryota, Metazoa, Chordata, Actinopteri, Salmoniformes, Salmonidae. The record is from RefSeq and is a predicted model, not a curated record. The transcript has 2 exons.
GUUUUGCUUUAAAAUCCAUUUGAAAUACUGACUACAAACAGUAAGUUACAAGUGACUAAAUCGGAUUUCUUGGUGUUCAGACAGCAGUCAUUUGCUGACAUGGCUAUGGUUGUUGUCAUAGUAACGAUGUGUGUAUGUAGGCUGAUUGGUGGUGGUGCUCGUGGUUCCUACUCUGAAGUUAUGUAGCAAGCUAAAUAGACGUGGAAUGUUCAAAAUCAUAGUGUAAGAACACAUUUAAAGCCUCAAAGGAUAAGAUGAUCAAAGCCAUUUUUGGCUAGCCACUGCAGUCAGCUAGCGAGCUAGGUUGCGGUUUAGCUUUCUAGCACAUUCACUAAUUUGUUUGAACAAUUAACAAGCUAGUUAGCUAGCUUGUUAACCACAUGUUCUUGUCAAACUGUCAACAGAGUAGCUAGCAAGCCACAAGAUGUGCCAAAAACACUUGAGGGCAAAUAAAUCAUAUUUGACCAUUCAGAGACAAGUCGCAUGAAAGGCAAUCAGAUUUUUAUCUGUGGCUUCAAAUAUCUGAAUCCAUGUUCUUUUUGGUUGUUCAAACUGCAGGAAAAAGAAAAAUUCAAAGAAAAAAAAAAAAGGACUUGAGUCACUUCAAACUGCCAGUGUGAACGAGGCUUAACUGCCCUGACAGCAGGUCUACCUGGACAACCACAGCCAACUCAUAAUGAACAAGCCGGUAGCUGUACUAUUCAUACGUGUAAACAUACUGAAUUGUAAUUGGAUGCAUUUGACCGCCAUCUCAUACUGUGCUAUGAUUGGUUAAGACCACCCAAACGGUUAGGUCAUGGUCAGUUUGAUCCUGGUUGGCUGUACGUGAACAUGUCAGUUAUAGCUACAUUAAGAAAUAUCCUGUAGUACUGCAUUUUAUUAUUUUGUACAGUGUGCAAAAUAAGACAUGUUGUCAGAGUAAAUGGUCUUACAAGAUGGAUUUUUCUGGAGUUCCUUCGAAUGGACUGGGAGUCAACAAACUUACCCGAUGCAUGGCGUAAGUACAAACAGCAUGUGGAGCUAAUGUUCACGGGUCCUCUGAAUGACAGAGAAGAGGAAAAAUGCAGCAACCUGCUCCUCUGGAUCGGUGAAACAGGGAGAGAUAUUUACAACACAUGGACACUUACCGAGGCUGAAUCAAAGGCCGGUGGUAGCUGGUCCCCUACAAGAAGGACAUCGAGGGGUCCCCGGCGUACACAAGCUAUUCUGGACUCGAGACACCGGAUGAGGGGCCUGCAGUACCUCGUGGACUGGGAGGGGUACUGUCCAGGGGAGAGGUGCUGGGUACAUAGAUCCUUCCCUCUUGAGGGAUUUCCACCGCCUCCACCCGGAUCGCCUCGUCCUCCGGGUCGUCCUCGAGGCCGGGGUCGGCGCGCGUCAGGGGGGGGGAUACUGUCACGAAUCCCGCCGAAGAUGGUGCCUCUUCCUGUUCGGGCGGCGCUCGGCGGUCAUCGUCGCCGGCCUAUUAGCUGCCAUUGAUUUCCUUUUGUUUCUGUUAGUUGGGUCUAAUUGGUUACAAUGUUUUGAGUUAGUUUUGUUUGUAGUUAGUGUGAUCUCUAUUUUUCCGGACAGUUUUAGUCCUGUUUAUUUUGGACGGGUUGUUUCAUGCGCCCUUGUGUUUUGCAUGUCCGUGUCUCCGCUGUCUUUGGAAUAAAAGUAUCCACAUACGGAAUUACCUGCUCUCUGCGCUUGACUCCUCCACUCACCAUUCAUAGAAGUCAUAACAGGUGCGUGAUAUUUGGAACAAUGUGCUGAAUUAGCAGAAAACUCUGGGGUGGAUACUUCUCUGACGAGUUGGUUUGGAAAAUUGAAAAAUGUCAUGAUCACUGUGUUGUGGGCAACCUUCACCUGUGUGACUGUGUUAGUUUUGUGCGGAUGUUGUUUGAUUCCAUGCGUGAGCGGUCUCAUUUCCAGGACUCUGGAGAAAUCGAUGACACAUCAGAUGGUGAGAUACGGACCGAUGCCGAGCUCUGACCAGUGGAAUGAUGAAUACAUACCCCCAGACCUAGUAGAUGGACCCGGCUCCUUCACUUACGAGGAGCCUAUGUUAGAUGAGACCAUUUUUAAUGUUUAGGUUCCUUCUUGUUUUGAUGUUAGUUUUGGACUUUUUUAAUGAAGAUUAUAACGAAAAUCCUGACAAGAGUUAUGAUUCUGAUGUAGGCCUAGAACAGUCAUUGUAAAUACAUAUACUGUUUUUCUGUGCGGUUGAUUUUGAGUAUAAUGGAUAAUUCUAAUAAAAAUGAUGUGUGAUUAAAUGUUUAAUAUUUAGUCAAAGGGUGGAUUGUUAAGAAUUUUAUGUAUAAUGACUAAAUUAUGUAUACAUUUAAAGUAAUGAUAGAUAUAGUCCUAACAGAAUUCUACCCUGUCAAUGUAUAACGAUGAAGAAUGUUUGACCAUGAGAAAGAGGGACUGUUCGCAGGCAAGGAACUGUGGCAGACAACUUGUGACCACUGUGAAACUGAUAACGGGGAAGGAAGUCUCCCCAUCCAGGGAGGGGAGAAACCUUGGGUUUGCAGUAGAUUGUGUAACAUGUUGCAGGAUGUGAUAAGCAAUGUAGGAGAAGACUUGUAAACUAUAUUGUCAUUGUCUGAGAGGAGGAGGGACAUUUAUGAUGAAAUGAGAGGUAUAUAAACCAAUGUACAUUAAAUGAUAAGCAGAGCUCUCGUAAAUAAAUGUUGCUGACUAUUGUA